UCGAGAAUUUUUCACAAUGGGCGCAAGCCUGAUGGAGCGACGCCGCGUGGGGGAUGAAUGGCUUCGGCCCGUAAACCCCUGUCAUUUGCGAUCAAACCUUGCUAUUUAAAAGAUGGCGAGCUGAUAGUAGCGAAAGAGGAAGGGACGGCUAGCUCUGUGCCAGCAGCCGCGGUAAUACAGAGGUCCCAAGCGUUGUUCGGAUUCACUGGGCGUAAAGGGUGCGUAGGUGGUGGGGUAAGUCGGAUGUGAAAUCUCGGAGCUCAACUCCGAAAGGGCAUUGGAAACUACCCGGCUAGAGGGUCGGAGGGGGGACUGGAAUUCUCGGUGUAGCAGUGAAAUGCGUAGAUAUCGAGAGGAACACCAGUGGCGAAGGCGAGUCCCUGGACGACUCCUGACACUGAGGCACGAAAGCUAGGGGAGCAAACA
This 426-nucleotide ribosomal RNA is filed under the name uncultured bacterium. RNAcentral's name for it is "bacterial SSU rRNA". It matches the Rfam family "Bacterial small subunit ribosomal RNA", at positions 355 to 774 of the family's 1533-position model. The record is from RNAcentral.